UGGACUCAACCAUAUCUAUCUGAAUUCUGACCAAAUUAGAUGUUGAUAUGGAUACAGAUGGAUAAAAUCUGACCUAUUUUCAUUCCUACUCAAAACCUCUUUUCCUCCAUCCAAAUCUCCAAAACUUUCUUCCCCACCUUUAAUCACUUAGAUCUAAAACUCCAUUACUCUUUUUGUGGUGGAUCUAGCUUCUUAUCUCC
RNAcentral lists this long non-coding RNA (200 nucleotides) under Elaeis guineensis (African oil palm). Its description in RNAcentral is "long non-coding RNA (EGUI_LNC056642)". The record is from RNAcentral. Lineage: Eukaryota; Viridiplantae; Streptophyta; Magnoliopsida; Arecales; Arecaceae.